GACGAACGCUGGCGGCGUGCUUAACACAUGCAAGUCGAGCGGUAAGGCCCUUUCGGGGGUACACGAGCGGCGAACGGGUGAGUAACACGUGGGUGACCUGCCCUUAGCUCUGGGAUAAGCCUGGGAAACUGGGUCUAAUACCGGAUAUGACCUCAUGACUCAUGUUGUGGGGUGGAAAGCCUUGUGCGGCUAGGGAUGGGCCCGCGGUCUAUCAGCUUGUUGGUGGGGUAAUUGCCUACCAAGGCGACGACGGGUAGCCGGCCUGAGAGGGCGACCGGCCACACUGGGACUGAGACACGGCCCAGACUCCUACGGGAGGCAGCAGUGGGGAAUCUUGCGCAAUGGGCGAAAGCCUGACGCAGCGACGCCGCGUGAGGGAUGACGGCCUGGU
This 391-nucleotide ribosomal RNA is filed under the name uncultured bacterium. RNAcentral's name for it is "bacterial SSU rRNA". It matches the Rfam family "Bacterial small subunit ribosomal RNA", at positions 28 to 420 of the family's 1533-position model. The record is from RNAcentral.